CACAAGAAGAACAAUGUUUGGGGGGAAAGACACUUUAGAUUCUGUGUUCCAUUAAUGCACAGACAAAGAACACAGGAGAUCAGGCAGAGAUUCCAGUUACACCUUGCACAGACUGACACAGGCUGCCAGCCUUCAACUGAAGAUAUCACUUGCACACGUUACAAUUGUUUCUGAUCAGAAGGGGAAUUCUAGUUUCCAAAGCUAAUGAACAUUACAAAAAUCUCUGAAGAAUAUUCCUAUUGGGCACAGGUAGGGUCCUAUAUU
Non-coding RNA from Pelobates cultripes (western spadefoot toad), 264 nucleotides. NCBI's taxonomy places the organism in Eukaryota, Metazoa, Chordata, Amphibia, Anura, Pelobatidae. The record is from the annotation of a GenBank genome assembly.